Molecule: transfer RNA, 73 nt
Filed under: Camelus bactrianus (Bactrian camel)
Lineage: Eukaryota; Metazoa; Chordata; Mammalia; Artiodactyla; Camelidae
Also listed under: 1 other name
Rfam family: tRNA
About the family: Transfer RNA (tRNA) molecules are approximately 80 nucleotides in length. Their secondary structure includes four short double-helical elements and three loops (D, anti-codon, and T loops). Further hydrogen bonds mediate the characteristic L-shaped molecular structure. tRNAs have two regions of fundamental functional importance: the anti-codon, which is responsible for specific mRNA codon recognition, and the 3' end, to which the tRNAs corresponding amino acid is attached (by aminoacyl-tRNA synthetases). tRNAs cope with the degeneracy of the genetic code in two manners: having more than one tRNA (with a specific anti-codon) for a particular amino acid; and 'wobble' base-pairing, i.e. permitting non-standard base-pairing at the 3rd anti-codon position.
Source: Rfam by way of RNAcentral
CGGGGUAUAACUCAAGCAGUAGAGUAUAUGCUUAGCAUGCACAAGGUCCUGGGUUCAAUCCUCAGUACCUCCU